AUGGGGCAGUCGAUUCUCCCUCGUCUCCCAGCGGCGCUAUGUGGUUGUUGGCGACUUGCCAUGGCUGCCGGGAAUGGGCUGUACACGUUGGAGACCACGUCGAAGAUGAAUGGUGGCAUGCAUCUCUUGGAGGAUGCGCCGCCACCUGCAGAUGACAUACAUGGCAAUAAUGCGUUCUGGGGAACCAGAGAUCACUGGUCUUGGAGCAACAUCCCAACACCACCCCCUUUCUGUGUGGCCGAAAUGGUGUCAAGCGCGGUGCACCCUGAGGGAGGAGGACGCACCCUGUUCGUGUCUGGCAAGAUCAGUGACAUGGAUGACCUCUCCAUUUGCACACCCCAGACCUUCUCCUAUGACACGGGGACCGGCGAGUGGAGGUGCCACGGCGAGUGGGAUCUGCCAUUUCGGGGUCAAGCUCACUACGACGCCGAGCUAGAUGUGUGGGUUGGGCUUCACAAGAAAUCUGAGCCCUUUGGCAACCUCGUCAUGGAUGGCUUCAUCUGCUCGUGCGACCUCGCAUCUCCCUGCGGGAGCCACACCCAGCCCACAUGGAAAGUCUGUGAUGAGAGGUUGUUCGACCGACCCUUACAAAUGGUGCCACAACAACGCUCGUCUUGUGUACAUGGGUAA
RNAcentral lists this ribosomal RNA (630 nucleotides) under Triticum aestivum (bread wheat). RNAcentral's name for it is "partial small subunit ribosomal RNA". The record is from RNAcentral. Lineage: Eukaryota; Viridiplantae; Streptophyta; Magnoliopsida; Poales; Poaceae.